CUCACCCUCGAUGGUGCCCUCGACCUGUCCUCCCUCAGCAGCCUGUGGCAUCCAGACCAGUUCGUGGCCCCUAGGAGGGGAAACUGAGUCCCAGCCCCAGGGUCCUCCCUCGGCUUCACUGGGUGCCCCAUGGAGGAGAUAGUCAGGAUGUGUCACCUGACAGGCUCACCAGAACCGGCACAGCAGCUGCUGAGUUUUGGCUCCCGGACCCUGGAGCCCCUGCCGCCGAGGCUGGGGAUGGCGGCUCCAGAGGUCAUUCCUCCCCCGGAAGACACACGCUGGCCUUGGGCCAGGGGACCCUCAGCGACGGGGUCACCCCAACGUUCUGGAGGCUGCGGUUCUGCUUCCUCCUGGGGCUGAGCUGAGCAAGCUCUAGCUCUCGGGCCGAGCGCAAGGAGGGCAGGAGUGAUGUCUCCAACUGUGCUGAGGUCUGCCCUGGGUGCAAGGGCCCUGUGUUUUCAGCACUGCCGUGUGGCCCGUGGAUGCCCUAGGCCCCUGGACAGUUGAUGCCUGGGGUCCACACUCCUGGACAGGGCUCUGGACAGUUGAUGCCUGGGGUCCACACUCCUGGACAGGCCCCUGGACAGUUGAUGCCUGGGGUUCACACUCCUGGACAGGCCCCUGGACAGUUGAUGCCUGGGGUUCACACUCCUGGACAGGGCUCUGGACAGUUGAUGCCUGGGGUCCACACUCCUGGACAGGCCCCUGGACAGUUGAUGCCUGGGGUCCACACUCCUGGACAGGGCUGAGGAGGUGGUGUCCCCAGACUUGCCCCAGCACAGCUGUGGGGGGCACCCGGACACCCGCCCCAGCCUCAGUCUCCCAUCCCAGCUGGCCCUGACAUGGGUGCAUGUGACGCCCUCCUGGUCUUGGCCUCUCAGACCCAGCUCAGCCAUGGCCAUCCAGACCCUUGGGCUCCGGUGUCUUCCCAAAGCUCUGAGAAGCACCCCCUUGGGGCAGCCAGACCCCUGACCACCCUCCGAACCUCUGCUGGACUCCCUGUGGCCCAGUCCGGAAGGGUUCUCCUCGGAACAGAGGGCAGAUGAGGCAAGAGUCGGUCCGAGUUCUGCCCUCUGGCACCGGCAGUGCUGUGAGGGCCCACGGGGCGGCUCAGUGGUCCCCAGGGACCUCAGCCUUCGGGAAAGUGCAGCAGAGACCUCAAGGCCCCCCGCGCUCAGCUAACGUCGCCCUCGCUCAUCCAGAGCACAGCCCGAGCUGCAGGAGGGCCAGGAGGGCAGAUGCUCCACAGCUCGGACAGCAUCCAUAAGACCCGCAUGGAGAAAACAGCAAAGGCCGGUGUGGGACGGAGAGGACGUGAACGGCGAGUGCUCGGAGAACAAGCACGCCAGCAGCGAACCCAGGGGGACCAGCCCAACAGCCAGUGCUCUGAGACACCGGCCAACGGCAAUGCCCCAUCCUCACCGCGAACGCCACUGUGACGCGCUGACAGUGGAUGCGAAUGCGUGACACAGACAGCGAGUGCCAGUGUGACCGUCACGGCUGAUGCUGAGCACUGCACCGACACACCACAGAAUCUGCAGGCCCAGGGCUCAGCUCCUGCUUGCGGGGCGCAGGCCAGCCCCACCGUCCGAUGUACAGACCAGCAUGGGCACCUUAGGCCUCUCCACCCUCCUCUGCCCAGAGCCUGCCACCAUCCGUGUUGCACAAGGGCCAGGUGCUGCACAGAGAGGCCACGUGCCUUGCCCCAGGCUGCCAGCUCCAGAGAAUGGUCCGGGGACGCCAUGGUCAUCUGGCCCCAGGACUGCUCCUGACCCUCCUGGGACGGAUCCUCCAGGCAGAGAGGGGACGCCAUGGUCAUCCGGCCCCAGGGCUGCUCCUGACCCUCCUGGGAUGGAUCCUCCAGGCAGAGAGGGGACGCCAUGGUCAUCCGGCCCCAUGGCUGCUCCUGACCCUCCUGGGAUGGAUCCUCCGGGCAGAGAGGGAAUGAAUCACAUUCCGGAUGGUGGCUUCAGGUCAGAAAGCUGCCAGGUCACCCAGGUGCCAUGCGAGCUGCUCCCCAGAGACGGCUUUCGGCCUUGGGUUUAUCACAGCGGCUGUUUUCCGUCUGCCAAGCCAAGCCUGGCUUUCAUCUCCCCUCGCACAACGGUCUGCUUCCUCAGCCUCUGGGCUUAUAGUGGUUUUCUUUUCUACUGUCUGAAAUUGAAUGUUUAGUUCAUCUAUUUUCUAUUCUCUCAUUUAUAAUAAAAACAUUUCAGAUGAGAA
This 2223-nucleotide long non-coding RNA is filed under the name Pan troglodytes (chimpanzee). RNAcentral's name for it is "lincRNA". Lineage: Eukaryota; Metazoa; Chordata; Mammalia; Primates; Hominidae. The record is from RNAcentral.